UCGAGAAUCUUUCGCAAUGGACGAAAGUCUGACGAAGCGACGCCGUGUGAGCGAAGAAGGCCUUCGGGUUGUAAAGCUCUUUCGCUUGGGAACAAGAAAGUGGUGUGAAUAACACCGCGAUUUGAGGGUACUAGGUAAAGAAGCACCGGCUAACUCCGUGCCAGCAGCUGCGGUAAUACGGAGGGUGCAAGCAUUAAUCGGAAUUAUUGGGCGUAAAGGGCGUGUAGGCGGUUUUGUAAGUCAGAUGUGAAAUUCCAGGACUCAAUUUUGGAGCUGCAUUUGAAACUACAAUGACUAGAGGGUAGGCGGAGAAAACGGAAUUCCACAUGUAGCGGUGAAAUGCGUGGAUAUGUGGAAGAACACCGGUGGCGAAAGCGGUUUUCUAGCUUAUUCCUGACGCUGAUGCGCGAGAGCAAGGGGAGCAAACAGGAUUAGAUACCCGUGUAGUCC
RNAcentral lists this ribosomal RNA (450 nucleotides) under uncultured bacterium. RNAcentral describes it as "bacterial SSU rRNA". It matches the Rfam family "Bacterial small subunit ribosomal RNA", at positions 355 to 796 of the family's 1533-position model. The record is from RNAcentral.